Monodelphis domestica (gray short-tailed opossum) is the source of this 1927-nucleotide long non-coding RNA. Lineage: Eukaryota; Metazoa; Chordata; Mammalia; Didelphimorphia; Didelphidae. The record is from Ensembl.
GAGCAGCUAGGUAGUGUAGUAUGUAGAAGUCAGGCAGAAUUCAAAUCUAGCCUCAGAUUCUCACUAGCUAUGUGACCCUGUGUAAGUCAUCUAAUCCUGUUUGCCUCAGUUCAUUCAGGGUUGACAGAGCAGAGAGAUUUGAUUUGGUCAUCUCAGCUCUAGAGGGCAGAAUCAGAAGGAAAAAGCAGAAAUUUCAGAGAGAUCAAUUUUGGCUCAAUGUAAAGAAAAAAAUUUUAAAAGCAUUGUCUCCAAAAAUCGGUGCCUUCAGAAGAUGGGAGAUUAACCUCCAUUCUAGCCAUUAAGGGACAGCUCGGUGGUACAGUGGAGAGAGCACGGAGCUUCAAUUUAGGAAGAUUCCUCUUCCUGGGUUCAAAUCUGGCCUUAGAUACUUAGUAGCUGUGUGCCUCUGGGUAAGUCACUUCUGCUUGUCUCAGUUUCCUCAUCUGUAAAAUGAAUGACUGAAGAAGCAUCAAACCGUUCCAAUAUCUAUGCCAAGAAAGCCCCUAGAAGAGUUGGACAUGGCUGAAAAAUUAUUGAACUGAUAGGUUUUCAAGUAAGGAUUGGAUACCAACUUAUUGGGGAUGUUAUAGACGGGAUUCUUCUUCAAGUAUUAGACCAUACUAGAGUGGAUCCUGUGAUUGUCUGUCAAUUGCGCCAGCAUCAAUGCCUUGUGAGCCCUUACAUGCUGGUUAAUGAUCCCCUGUCAGGGAGGUUGCAGAGACAACUCUUCAGAGGACAAGGGAAAUGAUCUCCAAAGACCUUUGGACUCUGAGACACUGUGACUCUGUGAUCCAGAAAGGAAGCAAUACACACUCUAGGGAUUUUAAAGAUAUACUACAAGAAGACCACUGGAUCCUUCAUUUCAGAGCUGGAAGAAACCUCAGAGGCCAUCUAGUCCAAACCCCUGUCUUUAUAGGGCACCCCUAAACCCUCACCACCUGAAUACUGCCAGUUAACCACGCAUACUUAUCAAACAUUUAUUAUAUACAAGGCAUUAAAGUCAGGUAAGUAUAAAACCAAAACCAGUUACCCAUGAUGAAUCCGAAAUUUAUAUAGUAGCCACAUAGUAAAUGUUAAAGAACAUGAAUCAAUCAGUUACCAAACAUUGGACUGUUAAGUGGCACAGUAGAAAGUGCACUGGGCUUGAUUGAGUUAGGAAGACCUGAGUUCAAACUUGCCUAAGAUAUUAACUAAGCAAACUGUUUGACAUCUAUCAGACUCAGUUUCCUCAUCUGUAAAUUUGAAGGGGCUAGAUAUUAAGGUCUCUUCUGACUCUAAAUCCAUAAUCCAGUGAUUUAUUAAGUGCUUAAUUUAGAUAUAGUUAGGUAGCUCAGUGAACAGAGAGUCAGGUCUAGAGAUAGGAGGUUCUGGGUUCAAAUUUGACCUCUGAUGCCUCCUAGACAUAUGACCCUGGGCAAGUCACUUAAUCCCAACUGCAUAGCCCUUUUCUCUCUUCUUUCUUAGAACAGAUCCUUAUCAAUUUUCAGACAGAAGGAAGGAUUUUAAAAAGUGACAGGCACUGGAAAACACAAAGACAAAAAUUAAUACUAAAUGUCUAGAAGUUUUCAUGUACAGUCAAUGCAGUACAUGUCAAUAGUGUCAACAGUGUAGCAUGGCAGCCAAAACUACUAACUCAACUUAACAGAAGAAAUAGUUGUUUGUUUUUGUUUUGUUUGUUCAUCCUUCAUUUUUGAAGAGGAUCAAUGACAAUACAGGGAAAUAUCCUGACAAGGGAGGCAAAGUGGCACAAAGUCAUCAGCCUCAUUCCCUCUUCCAAAGUCAUCAAAGUCCAGUGGCAAGACAAAAGUCAGGAUGACUAGUAAUGGCCCAAGAUGCAAAGAAAGAGUAUUCAGUAAAAAGAAGGAGACACGACUGUUAUUCACCACUCUGGUCAGUCCACAUCUGACACAUUGGGUUCAAGUCCAAG